GUUAGGAAUAUUGGACAAUGGGCGCAAGCCUGAUCCAGCCAUGCCGCGUGAGUGAUGAAGGCCUUCGGGUUGUAAAGCUCUUUAGUCCACGAAUAUAAUGACUGUAGUGGAAGAAUAAGCCCCGGCUAACUUCGUGCCAGCAGCCGCGGUAAUACGAAGGGGGCGAGCGUUAUUCGGAAUCACUGGGCGUAAAGCGUGCGUAGGCUGUUUUGUAAGUCAGAAGUGAAAGCCCAGGGCUUAACCCUGGAAUUGCUUUUGAAACUACAAGACUCGAAUUCGGGAGAGGAUAGCGGAAUUGUCAGUGUAGCAGUGAAAUGCGUAGAUAUUGACAGGAACACCAGUGGCGCAAGCGGCUAUCUGGACCGAUAUUGACGCUGAGGCACGAAAGCGUGGGGAUCAAACAGGAUUAGAUACCCGGGUAGUCC
RNAcentral lists this ribosomal RNA (425 nucleotides) under uncultured bacterium. RNAcentral's name for it is "partial 16S ribosomal RNA". It matches the Rfam family "Bacterial small subunit ribosomal RNA", at positions 354 to 796 of the family's 1533-position model. The record is from RNAcentral.